GGAUCUGCCUUCAGGUUGGGGACAACCACUGGAAACGGUGGCUAAUACCCAAUGUGCCGAGAGGUGAAAGGUUAACUGCCUGAAGAUGAACUCGCGUCUGAUUAGCUAGUUGGUAGGGUAAGAGCCUACCAAGGCGAUGAUCAGUAGCUGGUCUAAGAGGAUGAUCAGCCACACUGGGACUGAGACACGGCCCAGGCUCCUACGGGAGGCAGCAGUGGGGAAUUUUCCGCAAUGGGCGAAAGCCUGACGGAGCAACGCCGCGUGAGGGAGGAAGGCCUUAGGGUUGUAAACCUCUUUUCUCAGGGAAGAAGUACUGACGGUACCUGAGGAAUAAGCCUCGGCUAACUCCGUGCCAGCAGCCGCGGUAAGACGGAGGAGGCAAGCGUUAUCCGGAAUUAUUGGGCGUAAAGCGUCCGCAGGCGGUUUUUUAAGUCUGUUGUCAAAACCCACAGCUCAACUGUGGAUCGGCAAUGGAAACUGAGAGACUUGAGUGUGGUAGGGGUAGAGGGAAUUCCCGGUGUAGCGGUGAAAUGCGUCGAUAUCGGGAAGAACACCAGUGGCGAAGGCGCUCUACUGGGCCACAACUGACGCUGAGGGACGAAAGCUAGGGGAGCGAAAGGGAUUAGAUACCCCUGUAGUCCUAGCUGU
This 648-nucleotide ribosomal RNA is filed under the name uncultured cyanobacterium. Its description in RNAcentral is "bacterial SSU rRNA". It matches the Rfam family "Bacterial small subunit ribosomal RNA", at positions 122 to 803 of the family's 1533-position model. Lineage: Bacteria; Bacillati; Cyanobacteriota. The record is from RNAcentral.